GCUACGGUGGUCUAGCGGUUAGAACGCUGGCCUUGUAAUCCUGGGGUCUCGGGUUCGAUUCCCGUUGGUGCCC
Molecule: non-coding RNA, 73 nt
Organism: Zootermopsis nevadensis
Lineage: Eukaryota; Metazoa; Arthropoda; Insecta; Blattodea; Termopsidae
Source: Rfam